Molecule: unclassified non-coding RNA, 531 nt
Filed under: Hevea brasiliensis (rubber tree)
Lineage: Eukaryota; Viridiplantae; Streptophyta; Magnoliopsida; Malpighiales; Euphorbiaceae
Source: RNAcentral
GAAGUGAACAGAACCUUCACUCAGGCAUUAUUGAUCAUGGUUUCUAUGUUGCAACUGGGUGAAUCUUCAUUUCUUCCUCAUCCAAUUGAUAAUGAUUCACGUGAUAGGAUUGUCCUCUGUAUUAGACUGCUAAGCAAUACUGGUGAUGAAGUGAGGAAGAUAUGGUUGCAAUCUUGCAGACAAAGCUUUGUGAAAAUGCUGGCUGAAAAACAGCGCCAUGAAACUGAAGAGUUAAAAGCCAGAGCUCAGAUAUCCCAUGCACAGCCAGAUGAUCUAAUUGAUUUUUACCACUUAAAAAGCAGGAAGGGCAUGAGUCAGCUAGAACUGGAAGAUGAGGUCCAAGAUGAUCUUAAGCGUGCUACUGGAGAGUUUACAAAGGAGGGGGAUGAUGCCAACAAACUCAACCGCAUUCUUCAACUAACUGGAUUUAGUGAUCCUGUUUAUGCAGAAGCUUAUGUCACUGUUCAUCAUUAUGACAUUGUUCUUGAUGUUACAGUGAUUAAUAGAACCAAAGAGACUCUUCAGAAUUUG